GGUAAGGUGGCUGAGUUAGGCGGUAGAUUGUAAAUCUACCAACGAGAAGUUAGUUUCUCCCUUUCCA
This 67-nucleotide transfer RNA is filed under the name Varanus gouldii (Gould's goanna). RNAcentral describes it as "tRNA-Tyr". It matches the Rfam family "tRNA". Rfam says of the family: Transfer RNA (tRNA) molecules are approximately 80 nucleotides in length. Lineage: Eukaryota; Metazoa; Chordata; Lepidosauria; Squamata; Varanidae. The record is from RNAcentral.